RNAcentral lists this ribosomal RNA (510 nucleotides) under uncultured bacterium. Its description in RNAcentral is "partial 16S ribosomal RNA". It matches the Rfam family "Bacterial small subunit ribosomal RNA", at positions 28 to 507 of the family's 1533-position model. The record is from RNAcentral.
GACGAACGCUGGCGGCGUGCUUAACACAUGCAAGUCGAACGAAGAGCGAUGGAAGCUUGCUUCUAUCAAUCUUAGUGGCGAACGGGUGAGUAACGCGUAAUCAACCUGCCCUUCAGAGGGGGACAACAGUUGGAAACGACUGCUAAUACCGCAUACGAUCUAAUCUCGGCAUCGAGGAGAGAUGAAAGGUGGCCUCUAUUUAUAAGCUAUCACUGAAGGAGGGGAUUGCGUCUGAUUAGCUAGUUGGAGGGGUAACGGCCCACCAAGGCGAUGAUCAGUAGCCGGUCUGAGAGGAUGAACGGCCACAUUGGGACUGAGACACGGCCCAGACUCCUACGGGAGGCAGCAGUGGGGAAUCUUCCGCAAUGGACGAAAGUCUGACGGAGCAACGCCGCGUGAGGGAUGACGGCCUUCGGGUUGUAAAGCUCGGUUAAUCGGGACGAAAGGCCUUCUUGCGAACAGUUAGAAGGAUUGACGGUACCGGAAUAGAAAGCCACGGCUAACUACGUG